This 900-nucleotide ribosomal RNA is filed under the name Triticum aestivum (bread wheat). RNAcentral describes it as "partial small subunit ribosomal RNA". The record is from RNAcentral. Lineage: Eukaryota; Viridiplantae; Streptophyta; Magnoliopsida; Poales; Poaceae.
GGCGGCAAGAAGCCCCGAUAUGCGUUCGGGAGCAUCUCCGACUACGAGAAGCUUGAGGUGCUUGGAGAAGGCACCUACGGCCAGGUGCUCAAGGCGCGCGACCGCCGCACCGGCAAGAAAGUCGCCGUCAAGUGGGUCCACGGCAACAGGGCCGGCGGACACGGCCCGCCCGACAUCCGCGCGAUCACCCGCGAGGCCGGCUGCCUCGGCGCGUGCCGGAGUCACGAGUCGAUUAUCGAGAUCUUGGAUGUGGCGACGGAUGCCGAGACAGGGGACGUGUUCCUCGUCAUGGAGCUCGUGGCCGACGGCCGCACCCUCCGCGAGUCACUCUGGAGGCCUGUAUCCGAGGACGUGACCCGCGUGAUGAUGGAGCAGCUCCUGGAUGCUGCAAAGAAGAUACAUGGAGCCGGCAUCAUCCAUCGGGACUUCAAGCUGGAGAACGUCAUGGUCGGCUUCUUCGGCGGGCUCAAGGUUGGUGACUUUGGGUCGGCGAUCCGGGCGAAGCCGGCCGGAGUGCCCUAUGAGGAGUGCUGUGUCGGCACCCUGAUUUACACAUCGCCGGAGCAGUUGGAAGGCAACCGAUACUACAGCCAGGCCGUGGACAUGUGGGCGCUUGGGUGCAUCAUGGCGGAGAUGUUGGCCGGCGGGACCCUCUUCGUGGUGGAGACAGAGGAGGAGCUGCUCGCCGAGAUUUACAAGUUGCGAGAUCAGAUCACUUCUACGGGGAAGCUCGACUUGGAGUUCUUCGAGGAGCUUUCGGAAGCCGGGCGUGAGGUCCUCACCGGCCUGCUUGCUUUCAACCCCGCCGAGAGGAUCACGGCGGCAGAAGCGCUCGAGCACCGGUGGUUCAGAAAGCCCAAAGGAGCAGAGCACCCUGGCUUUGUGUCGCUGAUAAGUUAA